Molecule: unclassified non-coding RNA, 300 nt
Gene: 7SK
Rfam family: 7SK RNA
About the family: 7SK was discovered as an abundant small nuclear RNA in the mid-70s but a possible function has only recently been suggested. Two independent studies have found that 7SK RNA binds the CDK9/cyclin T complex (known as elongation factor P-TEFb). P-TEFb activates transcription by phosphorylating the C-terminal domain of RNA polymerase II.
Source: Ensembl
GAAUGUGAGGGCAGCCUGGCUGUGAUAUCUGUCACUCCAUUGAUAGACAGGACUGAUUGAGCUGAUCUGGCUGGCUAGACAGGUGUCCCCUCCCUCCCUCCCAGGUAUAUCCCUUCUGAAGCUGGAUGCUUAGUAGAAGAGCAUAACCUUCCGCAGCAGUGCUUCAUGCACUGUAGUCCAUUCUUCAGUCAAGGAUAUACAAGUAGCUGUGCUCCCUUGCUACAACCUCCAAACAAGCGCUCAAGGUCCAUUUACAGGAACAUGCAGGAUAGUCAAGCUCUUAAGAAUCCAGUCACUGAU